Molecule: ribosomal RNA, 492 nt
Filed under: uncultured bacterium
Lineage: Bacteria
Description: partial 16S ribosomal RNA
Rfam family: Bacterial small subunit ribosomal RNA
Source: RNAcentral
AGUGAACGCUGGCGGUAGGCCUAACACAUGCAAGUCGAACGGCAGCACAGUAAGAGCUUGCUCUUACGGGUGGCGAGUGGCGGACGGGUGAGGAAUACAUCGGAAUCUACUUUUUCGUGGGGGAUAACGUAGGGAAACUUACGCUAAUACCGCAUACGACCUACGGGUGAAGGCAGGGGAUCUUCGGACCUUGCGCGAUUGAAUGAGCCGAUGUCGGAUUAGCUAGUUGGCGGGGUAAAGGCCCACCAAGGCUACGAUCCGUAGCUGGUCUGAGAGGAUGACCAGCCACACUGGAACUGAGACACGGUCCAGACUCCUACGGGAGGCAGCAGUGGGGAAUAUUGGACAAUGGGCGCAAGCCUGAUCCAGCCAUACCGCGUGGGUGAAGAAGGCCUUCGGGUUGUAAAGCCCUUUUGUUGGGAAAGAAAAGCAGCAGGUUAAUACCCCGCUGUUCUGACGGUACCCAAAGAAUAAGCACCGGCUAACUUCGUG